RNAcentral lists this ribosomal RNA (440 nucleotides) under uncultured bacterium. RNAcentral describes it as "bacterial SSU rRNA". It matches the Rfam family "Bacterial small subunit ribosomal RNA", at positions 338 to 794 of the family's 1533-position model. The record is from RNAcentral.
CCUACGGGGGGCAGCAGUGAGGAAUAUUGCGCAAUGGGGGCAACCCUGACGCAGCAACGCCGCGUGGAGGAUGAAGGUCUUUGGAUUGUAAACUCCUUUUCUUGGGGAAGAGGAAGGACGGUACCCGAGGAAUCAGUCACGGCUAACUACGUGCCAGCAGCCGCGGUAAUACGUAGGUGGCGAGCGUUAUCCGGAAUUACUGGGCGUAAAGCGCACGCAGGCGGCUUUUUAAGUUUGACGUGAAAACUUCUCGCUUAACGGGGAGAGGACGUUGAAGACUGGGAGGCUUGAGGUAAUGAGAGGGGUGCGGAAUUCCCGGUGUAGUGGUGGAAUGCGUAGAGAUCGGGAGGAACACCAGUGGCGAAAGCGGCACCCUGGCAUUGACCUGACGCUCAGGUGCGAAAGCGUGGGGAGCGAACGGGAUUAGAUACCCUUGUAGU